UUUUGGGUAAUUUUGGGGUUCCCAAUUUUGGUUUUUCCCCCCCAAAGUCAAGCAGGUGUUCAAGGACCUGGAGUUCCUGGGGUUUGGGGUUCCCAAUUUUGGGGAUUUUGGGGUUCCUGGGCUGGAUUUUGAGGAGGAUUUUGGGGAUUUUGGGUAAUUUUGGUGUCCCCAAUUUCUGUUUUCCCCCCAAAGUCAAGCAGGUGUUCAAGGACCUGGAGUUCCUGGAUUUUGAGGAGGAUUUUGGGGAUUUUGGGUAAUUUUGGUGUCCCCAAUUUCAGUUUUUUUCCCCCCCAAGUCAAGCAGGUGUUCAAGGACCUGGAGUUCCUGGGU
RNAcentral lists this long non-coding RNA (330 nucleotides) under Zonotrichia albicollis (white-throated sparrow). RNAcentral's name for it is "lncRNA (ENSZALG00000004451.1)". Lineage: Eukaryota; Metazoa; Chordata; Aves; Passeriformes; Passerellidae. The record is from RNAcentral.